AGGCCUCUAGCACAGUUUCUCAAUUACUGAACAGGGCACAUCAUUGUGUUUUUAUUGCCAAGCUUGGUCUUAGCCAGUUUGAUAGGGUGUGUUUGGUUCAGGUCAUCAACUGGAAUAUAAUGGGUCCGUCCCAUUCCCAGGGGUGAUUCUCGCGUUUGGUUGGGUCGAAGAACCGGAACCAAGUCAUUCCCUGGAAUGGCAUAUUCGCCCCAGAUGCGGAACCCGCUGGUAUCUCCAAAUCGGAGGAACCACACGGAACGCCUCACGUCUUCCCUUCUCCCCCAACUCUGCCCUCUCUCCCUCGACCAAACCAUGCCCCAGCCUCAACCCUUCGCUCAUGUCUCACCGCCGGCACACUCCUGUCCCUCGUGUCUCCCCGUCGAAAGGAUGACUUGGUCACUGCGGCGGGAUCCUGGGGUCUGACAGGGAAGAGGUGGAGCAGCGGCGGGCGUCCGAUCUGACGAACAGAGCCGCACAGUGGCGGCCGAUCCGACAACGGAGCAGCGGCGGCGGCGGCCGAUCUCGGAGGCAGAGCAGCGCCCGCGACUCCCACUACCUCCUGCUCCACGCGGCCUCCCAGCACCGCCUCCACAUGGGCACCAUCGUCCAUCAGCUCUGCUCGGCUUUCCCUGCCGCCGCCGUCCCUGGGCUACGUGCUACAGAUGGGCAAUCAGCGGCAGUAACGACCAUUUUAUUUGCUAGCUUCUCGUAAUCACAGCAAGCUCUAAUGGGAAGAGAAUUAUGUUCUGCCCCUUGCUAGCUUCCUUUUCCUAAUCACGGUGAUAAGGUACUGGUAGAUACUCUCUCGAUUACUAGCGGCAAUCUCUUGCGGAUACAAGUUAGGUGGCGAUUACAUGAACGAUACAAGAAUUUGGGUGGCUAGGGUGCGUCGCGAGACGGGAAGAGGAAGGGGGAAGAGCCGGCCGCCGUUGCCGUGAUCCUCUGGAUACCGAACCAUUGCGUUGCUGUCUCCUUUAGUAUCGAUGUGGUGGGCUUCACUUGGACCAUUCUGGGCCGCAGGUCCUGCAGCUGGGCUUCCGGGUUCGAGCCGCGCGUGGGGCGGCUUGUGGCUGGUUGGUGUCGCUGUCUUGUGGGGCGCACCUGUCAGGGGCGCUGACAUCCCCCGCUUCUUGAGACGAGGCUUGUCCCCAAGCCUCCGCAAAGGGAAACCUUGCCUGUAGACUUGCCUUGUCCUCCCAUGUUGAUCCUAGAGCGUCGGAGUUGGACCAGCGCACUCGCACCUGUUUGCACAUCUUGCCCUUCUGCUGUUUCCAUCUCGUCUGUAGUAUGGCCACCGGAACCGCAAGUUCAUCAAAGCAUUGAGGAAGACAAGGUUCAGCCGUCAUACCCGGGUUCAGAGCGCGUCGAAGCAGUGAGACAUGGAAAACCGGAUGAAUUGUUGCACUGGCAGGAAGUUGUAACUUGUAGGCCACCUCAUUGAUCUUGCUCACGAUUGGAAAUGGUCCGUAGAACUUGUAAGACAGCUUGUGGUUUGCCCUUGGUGCCACCGAAGUCUGGAUGUAUGGUUGGAGUUUCAGGUAUACCUGGUCCCCCAGUUCGAACGACCUGAACGAUCUUUUCUUGUCCGCUUGGUUCUUCAUGAGUUGGCGCGCUCUAUUCAGAUGUUGUUGCAGCAGUUCUUGAACUGUGUCCCUCUCCUCGAUCCAUGAGUUCAGCGCUGGUACCGCUGUGGUGUUUGCAGCCGAGAUGCCCCAGUGCUUAGGUUCAUAGCCAAACAUUGCCUUGAAUGGUGUCAUCCCAAUCGCUGAAUGGUGAGCAUUGUUGUACCAAAACUGGGCUAAGGGAAUCCAGAAGCUCCAGCGUCGUGGACACGCCUGAGUGAAGCAUCUCAGGAACGUCUCGACACACUGGUUGACUCAUUCCGUCUGUCCGUCUGUUUGUGGGUGAUUGGCCGUGCUGAGGCGUAGUUGAGUGCCUGCUGAUUUGAACAGUUCCUGCCAGAAAUGGCUUGUGAAAACUGGGUCGCGAUCUGACACGAUAGCUCCGGGGAGGCCGUGAAUCUUGUACACCUGCUGCAUGUAUAGUUGUGCCACGGAUGCUGCUGUAUACGGGUGCGCCAGUGGUAAGAAGUAACUGAACUUGGUGCGCUUGUCGACGAUUACGAGUAGGCAGUUGAACCUGCUCGAUUGCGGUAGCCCGUCCACGAAGUCCAUGGAUAUCAUCUCCCAGGGCUGCGUUGGGAUUGGAAACGGGGCUAGCAAUCCCGGGGAUGCUGCUCUAUCCGGCUUUGCUUGCUGGCAUACUGGGCAGCACUGCACAUAGUUCUUGAUCUGUUCCUUCAUCUUGGGCCGCGCAAAGAGGCGGCGAAUGCGCCGAUAGGUGACGGGAAAACCUGAGUGUCCGCCCACCGGGCUGUCGUGGAAGGCUCGCAUGAUCUGUUGCUGAAUUUGAGUCCCUCCGCCUAGCCAUAUCCUUCCUCUGAAACGCAAAAUACCCUGCUGCAACUGGAACCUGCCCUUGGGAUCUUCUCGCACUCCCAACUGCUCUAACAGCUUCUGGGCGUGUGGGUUGUUGUUGUAGCUGCUAACAACAUCUUCCAGCCACCUGGGUUGGCAGGAGGAGACCAUUGACAGUGUCAUCGUUGGAUUAGCUCGAGACAGGGCAUCUGCCCCGUUGUUCUCUGUUCCUUUCUUGUACCUGAUUCUGUAUCUCAGCCCCAGAAGCUUUGCAAAUGCUUUCUGCUGCCAUGGAGUGGUGAGCCGUUGUUCUUCUAGGUGUGUCAAGCUCUUUUGAUCCGUAUAGAUGUCGAACUCCGCAUGCUGCAAGUACGGGCGCCACUGGUCCACAGCCACAAUGAUGGCUAGGUAUUCCUUUUCAUACGUCGACAAUCCUUGGUAGCGUGGACUGAGUGCCUUGCUCAUGAACGCAAUUGGGUGCCCUUUCUGCUGCAGAACUGCUCCGAUUCCCUUAUCACUUGCAUCUGUUUCCACUGUGAAUGGCUGCUCAAAAUUGGGCAGAGCGAGGACAGGUGCUGUUGUCAAGUGCUGUUUCAGAACUUGGAAUGUUGUUUCUGUUGUUGAUGUCCACAUGAAGGGAACGCCUUUCUUCAGUAGGUGGAAGAGAGGCUUGGCAAUGAUCCCGAAGUUACGGACGAAUCGACGAUAAUAGCCUGCCGGUCCCAAAAAGCUACGGACACCUUUGACGUCCUGGGGAGCAGUCCAGUUGGUUACUGCCGCGAUCUUGGUCGGGUCGGUCGCCACCCCUUGUGCGCUGAUGACAUGCCCCAGGUAUGAUAUUUUGCUCUGUCCAAAGGCACACUUGCUACGUUUCACUUUCCACUGAUCCUUGCGAAGGAGUUCCAGCACCUGUUUAACAUGUGUCACGUGCUCUUCCAGUGUAGCGCUGAAGAUCAGGAUAUCAUCGAAGAAGUAUAUCACGCAGACCCUGACCACAGGCUUGAGUGUGCCGUGGAUUGCCCCCAGGAAUGUGGGUGGGGCACCGGUGAGGCCAAACGAAACCACGCGAAACUCGAAGUGGCCCUGGUGCGUUGAGAAAGCUAUCUUGUGCUCCUCCCCUGGCGCGAGGCGUAUUUGAUGAUAGCCUGCGCGGAGAUCCAGCUUGGAGAACCACGCUGCUCCAUGCAGUUCGUCGAGCAGCUCUUCAACGACGGGAACUGGGUACUUACUGGGGACUGUGAUGGCAUUCAGUUGCCUGUAGUCAAUGCAAAGCCGCCAAGUACCGUCCUUCUUCUUAACCAGGAUGACAGGUGACGAGAAUGGACUGUUGUUGCGCUGUAUGACCCCUGAUUUGAGCAGAGCUUCGACUUGUGCUUCGAUCUCUGUUUUCUGUGCUGGUUUGUACCUGUACUGUCUGACGUUGACUGGUUGUGCCCCCGGAAUGAGUGGGAUGCGGUGGUCGCACGCUCGUCGAGGAGGCAAACCCACCGGCUCCUCGAACACAUCCGGGAACUGGUCGACCACACUCUGGAUGCAAGAUGGAGUUGGUUCGAGCUCUUCUGCCUGCGGUGCGACCACGCACAGGUGAACGACAUGCGUGAUCGCGCCCUUGUUGCAUAGGCUCUGAAGCUGGAUGUUGUUGAUCUCCUGGCAACUUGUCGAAGCAGCGUCAUGGCCCAUGAGUCGUAGCGGCCCCGCUGGAGUAGGUAUUUCCAGGAAGCGGGCGCGCCAAUCGACCGUCAUUGGGCUAUGCUCCUCGAGCCAGUCCAUGCCCAGGAUGACGUCAUAUGUGCCCAGGGCAAGCACCUUCAGAUCUGUGUAGAACUCAUGGCCUUGGGCGUACCAGGCGCACGCGGUGGCCACUUGCGUACACAGUAGCUCGCCGCCAUCUGCCACACGGACGCGGCCUGGCUUGGGGAGGGGGUGCACGCCCUUCAGUUGCGCUGCCAGUUGUUCAUUGACGAACGAGUUUGAGCUGCCCGAGUCCACCAGCAUGAGCACCUCUCUUCCUUGCAGCCAUGCUCGAAGCUGAAACGCCUUGGCCGAUACCCCUCCUGUCACUGCUGAUAGGGAAAUCGCCAUUGCCACCUCGCUGGUGCCCUCCUCUGCGAUCUGUGUGUCGAUGCCGUUGUCGAGGCCGAACAUAUCGAGGAGUUCCUCGACAACAUGCAGCUGCACCGUGGUGGGACACACGUGGUCAUGCCCCCACCGUUCGCCGCACUUGAAACACAGUCCGCGGGCGCGCCGGUAGUCACGUAGAGUCUUGAGCUUGGACUGAUCGGCGCGGGCGGCGUCCGUGCCGCGGCGAUCUCCUGCUGGCGUUGGUGGUACCGCUCGCACUGGAGGAGGAGGCAGGGGCAGGGGAUUGCCCUGUCUUGGCGCCUGCUCGGGUGGUCGAGGUAGUGAGCCAAACGAUCCUUCCAUCACCUCUUCUUGGAGCAGCGCCAGAGCGCAGGCCGUAUCCAAGUCCGGCGGCCGCUGCACUAGCACCACCGCUCUGAUGUCCUUCCGCAGUCCCUCGACAAAACGAGUCAGAAAAUAAAACGGAUGAAUUGUGUCAGAGUAGGAAGCCAAAUGAUUGAUAAUCAACUCGAACUGCUCAAUGUAAUGCGCCACUGAAGCUGUUUGUCGAACAGAAUAGAACUGCCUGAUCAAGGUUUGAUGCCUAUCGCGACCAAAACGUGUACACAGCAGGGCAGUAAACUGUUCCCAAUCGAACUCCGCUAAACGCUUCUGAACCGACUGUAGCCAUACAGCAGCUGAGCCAGAGAAGUUCAGGGCCACCAUGGGAACCCAAAACGACGGUAGUAUACUGAACAUCUGAAAGUAUUGUUCGCACAUCGUUUUCCACAAGCUUGGGUUGUCGCCCGUGAACUGUGGGAAGGCGAUGGACGGGUGGGACUGCCCUAAACCUGCUAGCAGCUGACUCGCAUGUGCGAACGGCGACAAAGGGGACAGAGACGUGGUCAGAGAGGAUGACGGACCUGUUGCCGGGGGUGGGGGUGGCGGCGGCGUCUGAAAGGACGCCGCCACGUUCCCUCGUGGCAAGUUGAACACGCCGUGGCCGCUUGGCCCUUGAAGCUCGGUGCCCGCGCCGCCACUGGCCCCCGGAAGGACGCCGGUCGUCGCAGAAGGGCCCUGCUUCUGGAUCAUCCCUUGAGGCUCUUCACCCGCCCUGCCUGCGGGCGGCUGCGCCAUCUGGAGCGCCGCCACCGCGUCGCCGAGAUCGGCCACCCGCUUCUCCAGAUCUGGACGCCAGUGAACCAGAUCGUCGACCUUGGCGGUGGAGACUUGGAUCUCCGCGAUGGCCUUGUUCUGGGCCUUGAGGGUGUUGUCGAGGCGGUCGAGGAAGGCUUCGAUCGCCGGAUCCAUGGCUACCAAGUGCGUACGCGCUUGCCUGAGGCCUCUGGUCUCGAUUAGCUGCGCCAGAGUGGAGCGGUUGCGGGGAAUUUACUGGUCUCUGAUACCAGAUGAUAAGGUACUGGUAGAUACUCCCUCGAUUACUAGCGGCAAUCUCUUGCGGAUACAAGUUAGGUGGCGGUUACAUGAACGAUACAAGAAUUUGGGUGGCUAGGGUGCGUCGCGAGACGGGAAGAGGAAGGGGGAAGAGCCGGCCGCCGUUGCCGUGAUCCUCUGGAUACCGAACCAUUGCGUUGCUGUCUCCUUUAGUAUCGAUGCGGUGGGCAACUUGGACCAUUCUGGGCCGCAGGUCCUGCAGCUGGGCUUCCGGGUUCAAGCCGCGCGUGGGGCGGCUUGUGGCUGGUUGGUGUCGCUGUCUUGUGGGGCACACCUGUCAGGGGCGCUGACAUACGGCAAGCUCAAUUUUGGGUAAAUGACUUGUAUUUUGACAGAUCUUUUGACCUUAUAUGGGUUGAUGCCUUGUAUUUGACAUGAAUAUAGAUGGAUGCCUUAUAUUUUGGUAGACUUUUAACAUGUAGAUGAGUGAAUAAAUAGUAUUUUCCUUGGCAAUUAUUUAUUAUGUGUCAAAAAUAUGAAGGCUAGUGACAAUUGUGCAUAUAUAUGUGAGAAAAAAACAUCAUUAUUUUUAUGCAAAAGGUGAGAUGAACAAAAAUGCAUUCCAUUCCAUAUAUCUAACCAAACACUAAAAUGGAACCGUUCCAUUUCACCUAUUUGUCCAAACCAAACAUAGGAACAGAACCAACCCAUUCUAGUGGAAUGGAACCAUGACAUUACAUUCUACUUCAUUCCCCAACCAAACACACCCAGUAAAUGCUCUUUAGGUACCAUUAGUUUCUCAUAGCAGCAGUACUAAUAUCGAUCGUGCAGUGUGCUGGUAUCAUCAAUCUGUGUAGUUUACUCAGUGGAAUGAUACUUCUUCGGCGACAGUACAAUGAGAAUUAAAUGGUGUUCUAUUCACUAGGUCAUGAUACUUCAACUAAGGAACAAUUGAAACUUCCUGGAUUAGGGGGAACACACAAAAGGAUCAUUCUCCAAUCUACCAUAGACGUCUUGGCAUAUGCUGUUGCAGCAGAGUUCUGUGCCAAAACCUUCAAAAUCAAAUAACAGAACUCACUUCAAUUUUCUUACAUCUAGUCAGUGGUCAAAACAACCAACAAUGCAAAGCUAAGUAAAUAAACUACCAGCUCUGUGCUAGAAAAAAGGAGAUCAGACCUUGGUGAUUGACAGUGAUGGCCUUUGAACAACAGAGGAACGCAAAUCCGCAGAAAUUCA
RNAcentral lists this long non-coding RNA (7109 nucleotides) under Triticum aestivum (bread wheat). Its description in RNAcentral is "long non-coding RNA (TAES_LNC005504)". Lineage: Eukaryota; Viridiplantae; Streptophyta; Magnoliopsida; Poales; Poaceae. The record is from RNAcentral.